GAACUGAAGAGUUUGAUCCUGGCUCAGAUUGAACGCUGGCGGGAUGCUUUACACAUGCAAGUCGGACGGCAGCACGGGCUUCGGCCUGGUGGCGAGUGGCGAACGGGUGAGUAAUGUAUCGGAACGUGCCCAGUAGCGGGGGAUAACUACGCGAAAGCGUGGCUAAUACCGCAUACGCCCUACGGGGGAAAGCGGGGGACCUUCGGGCCUCGCACUAUUGGAGCGGCCGAUAUCGGAUUAGCUAGUUGGUGGGGUAACGGCCUACCAAGGCGACGAUCCGUAGCUGGUUUGAGAGGACGACCAGCCACACUGGGACUGAGACACGGCCCAGACUCCUACGGGAGGCAGCAGUGGGGAAUUUUGGACAAUGGGGGCAACCCUGAUCCAGCCAUCCCGCGUGUGCGAUGAAGGCCUUCGGGUUGUAAAGCACUUUUGGCAGGAAAGAAACGGCACGGGCUAAUAUCCUGUGCAACUGACGGUACCUGCAGAAUAAGCACCGGCUAACUACGUGCCAGCAGCCGCGGUAAUACGUAGGGUGCAAGCGUUAAUCGGAAUUACUGGGCGUAAAGCGUGCGCAGGCGGUUCGGAAAGAAAGAUGUGAAAUCCCAGGGCUUAACCUUGGAACUGCAUUUUUAACUACCGGGCUAGAGUGUGUCAGAGGGAGGUGGAAUUCCGCGUGUAGCAGUGAAAUGCGUAGAUAUGCGGAGGAACACCGAUGGCGAAGGCAGCCUCCUGGGAUAACACUGACGCUCAUGCACGAAAGUGUGGGGAGCAAACAGGAUUAGAUACCCUGGUAGUCCACGCCCUAAACGAUGUCAACUAGCUGUUGGGGCCUUCGGGCCUUGGUAGCGCAGCUAACGCGUGAAGUUGACCGCCUGGGGAGUACGGUCGCAAGAUUAAAACUCAAAGGAAUUGACGGGGACCCGCACAAGCGGUGGAUGAUGUGGAUUAAUUCGAUGCAACGCGAAAAACCUUACCUACCCUUGACAUGUCUGGAAUCCCGAAGAGAUUUGGGAGUGCUCGCAAGAGAACCGGAACACAGGUGCUGCAUGGCUGUCGUCAGCUCGUGUCGUGAGAUGUUGGGUUAAGUCCCGCAACGAGCGCAACCCUUGUCAUUAGUUGCUACGAAAGGGCACUCUAAUGAGACUGCCGGUGACAAACCGGAGGAAGGUGGGGAUGACGUCAAGUCCUCAUGGCCCUUAUGGGUAGGGCUUCACACGUCAUACAAUGGUCGGGACAGAGGGUUGCCAACCCGCGAGGGGGGAGCCAAUCCCAGAAACCCGGUCGUAGUCCGGAUCGCAGUCUGCAACUCGACUGCGUGAAGUCGGAAUCGCUAGUAAUCGCGGAUCAGCAUGUCGCGGUGAAUACGUUCCCGGGUCUUGUACACACCGCCCGUCACACCAUGGGAGUGGGUUUUACCAGAAGUAGUUAGCCUAACCGCAAGGGGGGCGAUUACCACGGUAGGAUUCAUGACUGGGGUGAAGUCGUAACAAGGUAGCCGUAUCGGAAGGUGCGGCUGGAUCACCUCCUUU
RNAcentral lists this ribosomal RNA (1532 nucleotides) under Bordetella pertussis. RNAcentral's name for it is "bacterial SSU rRNA". It matches the Rfam family "Bacterial small subunit ribosomal RNA". Lineage: Bacteria; Pseudomonadati; Pseudomonadota; Betaproteobacteria; Burkholderiales; Alcaligenaceae. The record is from RNAcentral.